UGGGGAAUUUUGGACAAUGGGGGAAACCCUGAUCCAGCCAUCCCGCGUGUGCGAUGAAGGCCUUCGGGUUGUAAAGCACUUUUGGCAGGAAAGAAACGUCAUGGGUUAAUACCCCGUGAAACUGACGGUACCUGCAGAAUAAGCACCGGCUAACUACGUGCCAGCAGCCGCGGUAAUACGUAGGGUGCAAGCGUUAAUCGGAAUUACUGGGCGUAAAGCGUGCGCAGGCGGUUCGGAAAGAAAGAUGUGAAAUCCCAGAGCUCAACUUUGGAGCUGCGUUUUUAACUACCGGGCUAGAGUGUGUCAGAGGGAGGUGGAAUUCCGCGUGUAGCAGUGAAAUGCGUAGAUAUGCGGAGGAACACCGAUGGAGAAGGCAGCCUCCUGGGAUAACACUGACGCUCAUGCACGAAAGCGUGGGGAGCAAACAGG
This 429-nucleotide ribosomal RNA is filed under the name Acidobacteriota bacterium. RNAcentral describes it as "Acidobacteria bacterium partial 16S ribosomal RNA". It matches the Rfam family "Bacterial small subunit ribosomal RNA", at positions 355 to 776 of the family's 1533-position model. The record is from RNAcentral. Lineage: Bacteria; Pseudomonadati; Acidobacteriota.